Molecule: ribosomal RNA, 1472 nt
Filed under: uncultured bacterium
Lineage: Bacteria
Description: bacterial SSU rRNA
Rfam family: Bacterial small subunit ribosomal RNA
Source: RNAcentral
GACGAACGCUGGCGGCGUGCCUAAUACAUGCAAGUAGAACGCUGAAGAGAGGAGCUUGCUCUUCUUGGAUGAGUUGCGAACGGGUGAGUAACGCGUAGGUAACCUGCCUUGUAGCGGGGGAUAACUAUUGGAAACGAUAGCUAAUACCGCAUAACAAUGGAUGACCCAUGUCAUUUAUUUGAAAGGGGCAAAUGCUCCACUACAAGAUGGACCUGCGUUGUAUUAGCUAGUAGGUGAGGUAACGGCUCACCUAGGCGACGAUACAUAGCCGACCUGAGAGGGUGAUCGGCCACACUGGGACUGAGACACGGCCCAGACUCCUACGGGAGGCAGCAGUAGGGAAUCUUCGGCAAUGGGGGCAACCCUGACCGAGCAACGCCGCGUGAGUGAAGAAGGUUUUCGGAUCGUAAAGCUCUGUUGUAAGUCAAGAACGAGUGUGAGAGUGGAAAGUUCACACUGUGACGGUAGCUUACCAGAAAGGGACGGCUAACUACGUGCCAGCAGCCGCGGUAAUACGUAGGUCCCGAGCGUUGUCCGGAUUUAUUGGGCGUAAAGCGAGCGCAGGCGGUUUGAUAAGUCUGAAGUUAAAGGCUGUGGCUCAACCAUAGUUCGCUUUGGAAACUGUCAAACUUGAGUGCAGAAGGGGAGAGUGGAAUUUCCAUGUGUAGCGGUGAAAUGCGUAGAUAUAUGGNAGGAACACCGGUGGCGAAAGCGGCUCUCUGGUCUGUAACUGACGCUGAGGCUCGAAAGCGUGGGGAGCGAACAGGAUUAGAUACCCUGGUAGUCCACGCCGUAAACGAUGAGUGCUAGGUGUUGGAUCCUUUCCGGGAUUCAGUGCCGCAGCUAACGCAUUAAGCACUCCGCCUGGGGAGUACGACCGCAAGGUUGAAACUCAAAGGAAUUGACGGGGGCCCGCACAAGCGGUGGAGCAUGUGGUUUAAUUCGAAGCAACGCGAAGAACCUUACCAGGUCUUGACAUCCCGAUGCUAUUUCUAGAGAUAGAAAGUUACUUCGGUACAUCGGUGACAGGUGGUGCAUGGUUGUCGUCAGCUCGUGUCGUGAGAUGUUGGGUUAAGUCCCGCAACGAGCGCAACCCCUAUUGUUAGUUGCCAUCAUUCAGUUGGGCACUCUAGCGAGACUGCCGGUAAUAAACCGGAGGAAGGUGGGGAUGACGUCAAAUCAUCAUGCCCCUUAUGACCUGGGCUACACACGUGCUACAAUGGUUGGUACAACGAGUUGCGAGUCGGUGACGGCAAGCUAAUCUCUUAAAGCCAAUCUCAGUUCGGAUUGUAGGCUGCAACUCGCCUACAUGAAGUCGGAAUCGCUAGUAAUCGCGGAUCAGCACGCCGCGGUGAAUACGUUCCCGGGCCUUGUACACACCGCCCGUCACACCACGAGAGUUUGUAACACCCGAAGUCGGUGAGGUAACCUUUUGGAGCCAGCCGUCUAAGGUGGGAUAGAUGAUUGGGGUG